Molecule: non-coding RNA, 777 nt
Organism: Nicotiana tabacum (common tobacco)
Lineage: Eukaryota; Viridiplantae; Streptophyta; Magnoliopsida; Solanales; Solanaceae
Source: RefSeq, a predicted model, not a curated record
UUCCCUUUUUCUCAAUGACAGUCAUUAUCGUGAUAUUUCAGAUUAUACGAAACUGCAAUAAGACUUGGGGAGCUUCAGGCUCAGUUUAAGCUACCAAUCGAUCCGCAGGAGUAUGCCCAAGAAAAUCUUAAGUUUGGUUUGGUUGAAGUGGUAUAUGAAUGGGCAAAGGGCACCCCAUUUGCUGAAAUCUGUGAACUUACUGAUGUCCCUGAAGGUUUAAUAGUGAGGACUAUUGUCAGAUUAGACGAGACAUGUCGGGAAUUUAGAAAUGCUGCAGCAAUUAUGGGUAACUCGUCAUUGUACAAGAAAAUGGAAACUGCUUCUAAUGUGAUCAAGCGUGACAUCGUGUUUGCAGCUAGCUUGUACAUUACUGGGGUUUGAUAAGGUCAGAAGGCCUUGAUUUCAAGUGCAAGCCCAAAGAAACCGCUGGGUGCUUGUUGUACACUAAAAUAUUUUAGCCAAGGUGUGGACUUGAGCAAGGAUACGCUACACUUGGGUAAAUGUGUACAGAAUUUCCAGUCGUUCAUAUGUAACAUUACCAAUCUGCAAAAAUAUGCCGUUAGCUCAGAGAAACACAGGAACUUUGAGAUUUACUGUAUCACAUUCUUGUAAAUUUAGAUGUAACUUUGAGUUUUGCAUUCAUGUGCUUAUCUUAAAGUUUAACACAAGACACUUGGGUUCAGGUUUGUCAAUUAAAAAGUUGAAUGAAAGGAUUCAUUAUGAAGGUUAACUAGCUCUUGAAUGUGAUUGAUGCUAAGCAAGCUGUUGAGCUGGUGA